RNAcentral lists this transfer RNA (40 nucleotides) under Psittacanthus sonorae. RNAcentral's name for it is "partial tRNA-Phe". The record is from RNAcentral. Lineage: Eukaryota; Viridiplantae; Streptophyta; Magnoliopsida; Santalales; Loranthaceae.
UGGGAUAGCUCAGUUGGUAGAGCAAAGGAUUGAAAAUCCU